AGCGGGGUAGAGGAAUGGUCAACUCAUCAGACUCAUGAUCUGAAAACUGCAGGUUCGUUCCCGUCCUUCGCUU
This 73-nucleotide transfer RNA is filed under the name Daucus carota subsp. sativus. It matches the Rfam family "tRNA". Rfam says of the family: Transfer RNA (tRNA) molecules are approximately 80 nucleotides in length. Their secondary structure includes four short double-helical elements and three loops (D, anti-codon, and T loops). Lineage: Eukaryota; Viridiplantae; Streptophyta; Magnoliopsida; Apiales; Apiaceae. The record is from Rfam by way of RNAcentral.